UGGCUGCUUCCCUUGGUCUCCAG
RNAcentral lists this microRNA (23 nucleotides) under Homo sapiens (human). Its description in RNAcentral is "hsa-miR-6762-3p". Lineage: Eukaryota; Metazoa; Chordata; Mammalia; Primates; Hominidae. The record is from miRBase by way of RNAcentral.